Molecule: long non-coding RNA, 467 nt
Filed under: Cricetulus griseus (Chinese hamster)
Lineage: Eukaryota; Metazoa; Chordata; Mammalia; Rodentia; Cricetidae
Description: lncRNA (ENSCGRG00000024199.1)
Source: RNAcentral
CAGAGAGUUACUCAGUUUUCGACCAUUACAACAAAAUAUCUGGGAUGACUUGUAUAUAAUACAACAGGUUGAUUUCUGUUCACAGUUCUACUGGCUCCAGUCCAAGAGGAGGGAAUAUUCUUUUGGGCCCUUGAUACAUUGUGAAGUACCUGGCCAAAUUCCAUGUCCAAUGAUCAAAACAGAGUGGAUUCUACAAAUCUCCCCAGGACUGCCUAACAGCCCCAAAUUUCUACACAUUCUAUCAUCUUCUAAGAAAACAAAACAAACCAAACAUAAACAAAAACAAAAAAACCCUGAGGAACAAGGGUUUAAAAUUUGGGCUUUUGAAGAGGACCCUAAAUUUCCAUAUGACAGUGUUCACACUUUAAUACUGAAAUAUCUGUUGGUAAUUAACAAGUAGCAUACCGAGCAUAUUCUAUGUUCAGUAAUUUUCCUAAAUGCUGGUGAUAUGAUAAAAACGAAACAAG